Condylostylus longicornis is the source of this 1502-nucleotide long non-coding RNA. RefSeq lists it as uncharacterized. NCBI's taxonomy places the organism in Eukaryota, Metazoa, Arthropoda, Insecta, Diptera, Dolichopodidae. The record is from RefSeq and is a predicted model, not a curated record. The transcript is spliced from 4 exons.
GAUUAAUACAAAAAAAAUUGCAAUAAAAAAACAAGACCGAUUUAUUAAAAACCAAUAAUUUUUUCAACAUUUCAUUGCGGGGCUUAAAUCAGCUUAAAAAUAACAAAGUAAUCAACUUAUAAAUUAAUUAAUAUUAAAAGGACUCCAGAACAAAACACGUUCCUUGAUAAUAUUCCGUAUAAAUGGCUGUAAGUUGUCUUGUAGACAAUUUGAUUAUAAGACUGCUGCAUAACAAAUGUGAUUAACAAAAUUAAUAGCACACGAUCGAAUAUACACGUUUUUGCUUUUGAAAGAAGAGAAUCUGCUGUAAUCUAGCUAAGAAAUUUGUAAUGAUCGUCAACUAUAAAAUUCUCCAAUAUUUGAAAUUUUUUUACAAAUUUUAAAGUAUUAAGAGAAUAUUUGUGGAGAAAAUAAUCGAAAAUUUUAAAAAAUUGCAAGAUUUUCGAAUCAAAAUCUAUGCAUAUUAAAUUUUUGCAUUUGCGUUAGCGCAAUCGUCCUCAGAAAGGAAUGGGCAACAUUAAUUAGUCAAAUUAUAAAAUUAUCAAAUACUUUAGCUUAUCUGAUCCGAAUUAUCAAAUUAUACAAUUAAUUCCUAAUUUUCUAGUCAUAAUAAAGUGUCAGUCACUUAGUAAUAGUCAUUCACUUUUCUUCUCUAAAUAAAAAAUCAGUUUUUGCGGUGACAAUCAAAAUAAAUUCUUCUUAUACUUAAAAUAAAAUUUAAUUGUAUUAAAAAUUCAAAAACUUUAAAAUAAAAUAAAAUUAUUGAAGCAUAACAUUGAGAAAAAAAAUAAAUAAAAAUUUUAACAUUUUUAAAUUUUUCAUUUAAUAAAUGCGUGCAUCUCUUCUUAUACCUUUCAUUUGCAAUUCUUUAAUGUCAACAAUUUUUAAUGUUAUAAUUUGUGACAUUAUUCAAAAAACAAUAAAGUUGGGUCAAACCAAUGGUUUGUAUUGUAGCACUUUUCCCUUCUACAAGUGAAAAUUCUGCUUUUAAAUACAGUCUAUGUAUACCUAUCCCACAUUCUAAAAAUUAUUUUCAUUCAUAUACAAAACUCUUUCUAGGAUUGCAUAUAUUUAGGAUGAACGAUUUAUGCAGUCUUUGAAAUAAAGCAAAAAUUAAUAUAAAAAGGGGUUAACAUAAUGCUCGAUUUUAAGGGUUAAUUAUGUGAGUUAAGAAAAAUAAUUAUAUUUUUUAAUGUCAUGGAAUUUACCGUUAGCUUUUUGUGUUUAUAAAAAUUUGAAAAAUAUAAGGUGUCGGAAAUAUAAGGUGUCAAAAAUUCAAAUUUUAGAAAUUUUAAGAGGCGAUAACUUGAGAGGGGGUAGAGAUGAAAAAAAUUUUCUUCUAACAAAAUGUACUAUUUAUUAAUGUCUAAAAGUUCAUAAAAUUUCAAGCUUCUACAGGUUGGGGUCUAGAAAAUAAACGACAUCAAAAAUUUGGAAAAAACGAACUUUAGAUAACGGUAAAUUUGAGCGGCCAUUUUGUUUUUCUAAAGUUAACCUUUAGU